This 253-nucleotide ribosomal RNA is filed under the name uncultured bacterium. Its description in RNAcentral is "partial 16S ribosomal RNA". It matches the Rfam family "Bacterial small subunit ribosomal RNA", at positions 524 to 776 of the family's 1533-position model. The record is from RNAcentral.
UACGUAUGGUGCAGGCGUUAUCCGGAUUUACUGGGCGUAAAGGGAGCGCAGGCGGCGCGCCAAGUCUGAUGUGAAACCCCGGGGCUCAGCCCCGGGCAUGCAUUGGAAACUGGCGGGCUGGAGUGCCGGAGAGGUAAGCGGAAUUCCUAGUGUAGCGGUGAAAUGCGUAGAUAUUAGGAGGAACACCAGUGGCGAAGGCAUCUCACGAAUCCGCUAUUGACGCUGAUGCACGAAAGCGUGGGUAUCAAACAGG